GCUUAGCAUUGUGAGAUUAUAUAUGCAUAUGAACUUGGUUGAUAACUCUAGCUUGAUUAGAGAGAUAACAUUGGAAAAUGAGAAUUGAUAACUCUAGAAUGAGUAGAAUGCUUAAUUGGACAAUUAGUAUGUGAAUUAGAUCGAGUGGCAUCUAACUUAGUGUUAAGGAACAUAGGUCGUGAGUAGACCUAGAAUCAAAUAGAUCGAGUGGCAUCUAACCUAGUGUUAAUAAACAUAGGUCGUGAAAUGAAAAGUACUUAACCUAGAGUCAAGUGAACCUAGGUUNNNNNNNNNNNNNNNNNNNNNNNNNAAGAGAGAGAUGCUUACAUUCCCUCACCGAUGACGUCGAAAAGAUAUUAAGGUUCAUCUGGAGUAGAAUUGUCAAGAGGACUUUUAAUGAGUUAGACAAGGCUAUGUCGGCUCCUAAUUCUUGCCCUCCCAUUAAAUGGGUAAGGAUUUGUGAUUUUCAGUGAUGCAUCGUACAGUGGUUUAGGUUGCUCGUCAUGAUCAGCAUAAUGUAGGUAUUGUUUUAUUGCUUCUGACAAUUUGCAAGGAUUACGAGAAGAAUUACCCUACCGCACUAGACUGGAGCUUUCCGCAUAGUCUUUGCUUGUGAAGUUGGUGGCGGUAUUACUUUAUUGCGAUCACUGCGAGGUUUCACUGAUCAUAAAAAGCGUUUCAGUCAUCUAUUCACCAAAAGGAGUUGAACCUGAGGCAACGCCGGUGGUUGGAGUUGUUGGAAGGACUAUGAUAAUUAGUAUUAGAUAUCACCCCGGCAAGGCGAAUACGGUGGCAGAGAUGCGUUGAGAAGAAGGUAGUGGGCAAGCUUGAGCAAUGAUUGAUUACUCACAGAGGGCCGUACUUUGGAGAAGCUGCAGGCGGUUGAUGCUCCAAGUAGUGUCCCCUGGGUACUGCAAUACUGAUGGUUUAUGAUUCUUGGAGCACGCACUCUUGUUGUGAUCAGUGAUCAAGGGAGUAAGCAGAGUGGAGAUUCUGCAUUUGUUGAGAAUGUUGAAGCAGUUUGGAGAGGGACAGGCAGAGGUUUUUUCUGUGGACAGUUCGGGAGAGAAUACAAGUACAAGGGACUGACUGUGUAUGAACAUAUCGAACUUCUAAAGUUCAUGAAGUCACGGUGUAUGUGGGCUGGAAAAACUAUUCUGAAUGGUCGCGGUAAGGUUCGGUGAAUGUUCGGAGCUUUUUGGGCUUUUCGUGCGCGUAGGCGGCUGAAAAACUGGAACCCGAAAGCUAGUUGGCCGGAGCUAAUUCGGCAUUAGCGUGGAUGAAAAGAUGAUGGAGACAUGUUCGAAACAUGUUUGGAGAAGUAAUAUAUAUGGAACCCAGAAGGAAUUAUCGAACUUAGCACAAAUUGGCUAAAGCUCGAAUAAGAUGAAUGCGACGAGUUCCAGUUAACGUUCCCAUCAAGGUGGAAGGCAUAAGAUGAUUCUAAAAGAUUAGAAAGGUUUUUAGCGUUGUCCGGCCACGAAAUAGAGUCGAAAACUAAGCUAAAAAACCAAGUCGGCAGCAUUGUGUACCGUAACAAGUGAUUGGUUGUACCUGUACAAGCAAGCAACGCCGAAGAAAUGCUAACUCUCGGAGUUUGAGUGAAAAGACUGUAAAGCCGGUGACCACGGGAAAGUGUACGCGGUACACAUGUUGCAGAAAAUGCAAGAUUUGGUCUGCUGCAAUUAAUAUAUUGAUUGGAGGGGUUUUAUUUUGCAAAUUGUACGCUAAUGUAAGUAAGCCCUAAAACCCCUCUCCCUCACAGCAGAUCUCUGCUCCUCUCUCCCUCCGUGUCUCUCCCUCUUGUUAAGGGUAUCGUGUCUCUCGACUCUCGCUCUCACCUGUUGCAAGAAAAAAGAAGGAAAAAGAAAAAAAGAGAAGGAAAAAGAAAAGAGAUAGGAAAAAAGAAGACAAUGAUGGAGAAAAGAAGCUACCUCGCAUCUUCAGUCUUCCUCAAUGCAUUUGAGAGCCUUGGAAGGUAAGCCAUGCGUCCCCUCUCAUGGUGGAUUAGGGUUAAGGUUUUGGUUUUUAAACCCCUAAUACUAGAGAUUUGGAGCUUCUAGCAUGAUUAAGAUACCAGUGUAAAGACCUAUAGACACAUGAAAUCCAUGGUGUUCUUGUAGUCUCUAAUGGUGGAAUCCUAGGUUUGUUCUAAAUGCCCUAGCGAGUAUGAUUCUAAUGAGAAUAGAAACAUCCAGUUUAGAGAACUUCUUGGGUUGAUCUAAGCUCGAUUAUCUUAGCUAUGAGAUCAAUCCCAGAAAUUGGAUUAUGCAUGUAGGCAUCGAAAUUGGCAGCUUUUUCGCCGGGUGUUUCUAAAGGCAAAUUGGUCCUUGUACGAAACCUAAUUGGGGACCUAACGAAGCGUGAAACGCUCGUUCGGCAAUGCCGACGAGCGUAACCGAAGUUAUUGACGAAACGGUCGGUUUGUACAGAUAGCCGCAGCACAGCGGAAUACAAGGUCUAAAAAUCAUGAGACGGAACUGGAGCACCUUGGAGUCAAGGAAUUAAAUCUCCAGAGGAGACGGAUCGGCCGGUUCGGAGGUUCGUUUGGAAGUCGCCAUGAGUUCGGGCCAACCGGCAACGGUUGCCGCGGAAGCCGAUUGCAAGUGACUAAAACAAGCAAUCGGACCACGGUGUUAAGGGUGGGUUGUUGUACCAAAGCGAUUAGGUCGCCAUUUAUGUGCUAAGAAUUAAGUAAUACCAUGGUAUGCAUAUAAAUGUAGAAUGAAGCAUGUAAAUGAUGCCAUGUACGCUAAAUAAUGCCCUGUUGAUAGUAUGAUGUAAAUGCUAAGUAGAUGCAAUAUAAAUGAUAUAUGAGAUUAUAAACCAUGAUUACAUUCUGAGAUUAUAGAUGCAUGCUUAGCAUUGAGAUUAUAAUGCAUAUGAACUUGGUUGAUAAACUCUAGUUGGAUUAGAGAGAUAACUAUUGGAAAUGAGAAUUGAUAACUCUAGAAAUGAGUAGAACUAAUUGGACAAUUAGUAUGUGAAUUAGAUCGACGUGGCAUCUAACUUAGUGUUAUGGAACAUAGUCUGAGUAGACAACUUAGGAAUCAAAAUAGAUUCGAGUGCAUCUAACCUAGUGUUAAUAAACAUAGUCGUGAAAUGAAAAGUACUUAAACCGUAGAUCAAGUGAACGCUGGGGGUUUGGUAAAGAAACAAUAAUGAUCCUAGUGUAAAAAAACCUAGGUUAAAGAAUGUGAAAGCAAUAACGCUAAAUUGGGUGAAGCUUAGGUUGAGUAAAGGGCUUAGACGCUAGAAGAGUCCAGUUCCAAAGGGUUUUAAGACGCAAACCCUAUGUGAUGUGAAAUGGAUUCGGAAUCCCAAGCUAAAAGGAACACCACGCCAAAGUGGUGUCGGGAUGUCGUGCGACGAAUUUCGCCGCCCAGAGGUAGAGAACCAUUGUCGUGGCGUGUGUGCGAGCGAUUUUCGCCGCCGGAUGGUUAGCUCAGUUUGGGAUACCUACCGCCGUUGACUGAACCACUGUCGUGGCGUGUGCCGACGAUUUCGCCGCCGGUGGCAAGUCGUUGAACCUAGGACCGUUGUUCGGGUGAGGUGGGGCGAUUGUUCGCGCGCAGACGGCUAGGACAAGUACGGUGAGCUGUUGCUAGCUGAGGUGCAUCGUGAAGAGUUACUUUAAUCACCUUCGAGCUAGACAGUGCGCGGACAUAUCCGCGAUUGAAUUGACUCAAACCGAGUCGGGUGGCUUUGUUGACUAAUUGUAAAGUGACCUUAAGUAAGAAAAAAAAAUGCCCAAAGGCUAAGAGAUAGCAUGGUUUCAAGAUGUUAAGAGUAAAGAAACAACCUAAAUCGAUAAUGAAUAGCUACAGCAGUAAAGUAGAUGGCUAAGAUAAUGAAUAGAUAAUAGAAAGGAAUAGCUAAGAGCUACAAAAGUAAACAUUAAAUGGCAAGGAGUAAAGAAAUGAUUAAGAACAUAAGUAGUGUUAACAGUAGACCUAUCUUGCAUGAAUUACAGGUAUUGCAUACUGCAACUUUCGGAGGCAUGACCUGUAUUUCAUCAAUUGAAUAUAUAUCGUGUUGUAAUAUUGUUGAUCUAACAUGUUUGCACGUGCCUCGGUAGAGACUGUUUUUGGGCUUUUGACUUGUUCUCUUGGUUGGCUAACCCACUGAGGACUAUGGACAAUAGUCUCACCCCCUGUUCUGUUUUUGGGUAGCAGGGUACACACGUGUGCGGCGCGGCGCGCGCAAGGCGAGGACGUAGAUCUGCAGAUAGCGUCCAUAUCCCAGAGACUGAGAAGCAAUACCCGAGUUGGUGUCUAGCUUGGGAAAGGUUUAAAAAACAAAGACAAACUUUUGUUUAAGUUGUAAAAGAAUCUGUAAUGAUUAUGAUUGUAUAUUGGCAGGUUAAUUGUAAAAGAAAAUUAUGUUGAAAAUGGCAUCUAAGUGAAUUGCGUAAUAACUAGUUAGUUAUGUUUUUGAUACUUCCGUUAUGCAAUCUGUGAAUGAAUAUUGUUUCCUGUUUGGAAGCCGUCUCGUAUUAUUUUGAUUGCGACGCCUCUGGACUACAGGGAAAGACUCUGUCCGUUCGGGCGUCUGUCGCGGACCCGCGACCCGCCAAAAUUGGGCCGGUGGUCGCGGUCCGUGACAGAUAAGAAAUGGUAUCAGAGAAUAAAGUAGAGAAUGAAAAUGGGUUUAGGCAACCUAGAGAACGCCUAGGUAGUGGAAUACCUUUAGAGGUUAAGAGCUGCGAUGAGAGACGAGGAUUUGUGACUUAUGGCGAAAGAUGAAUUAAUUGGGUCAAGUGUUGAAACGCUCUAAACGGAUUAUUGGUGGUAGAUUCAAGUGUAUGUUGAUUCUCAACGCGAGGGUGUUCAGUUUUGGGUGCACACAACAUGAAGCCCGAGCGAUGAGAAUAGACGGCCUCUUAGUGUGACUUUCGGCCCGAUUGGCUUUUAAGCCGGUGUUAAUGGACUCUUCUCCGACCCAAGUUGGUCGAGAACACUAAUUCACAGUUGUCGGUUUGCAGGAAGCGAUGGACACCGCGUAGGAGAACUCGCACCAGAUCGGUGCGGGAGGGACAAGUGUGGAUUCCGCGAGCGAAUCCGACGCUAGCGAACUCAGAGCUCGUGAUCAGUUGGCCGACACUCGUAGGAGUGAUGAGGCAAGCAAGCUGAUGUAAGUGCAGAGGCAGGCAGAGCGCUGCUAGCGUGCCAGAGAAACAAAAUUGAAAAGACUCCAAAGAGACGGUGGACUCAGCUGGUGGAAGCACCAGCUGCGUGCUCGUCAGGGACGGCCGAGAGUCCGCGGGGCGGAGAAGUGUUUCGUCGGGGUCGGGUGAUCCACUCCGAUUUAGUUCAGAGGUGGCGGCGCGAAAAGGAUGCGGCUUUGGCGCCCUCAUGGCUUUCAAGAAAUUUGAUCCGCUGCCUUGAAUGGUGAGGACCCCCCCCCCCCGCCCCGCGGCAAAGAAGAAAAAAAAAAAAAAAAAAAAAAAUUAAGGAAGAUCCGUGGUCAAUAGAGAUAUGGGUUGAUUCCAUGGAAACGCUCUUAGAGGAUUUGUACACGUUGGGAGGCGGGACAAGGUAAAAACCUAGCGCGCAUGUAUUCUCAAACAAGUCGGCGAAGGUGUGGUGGAAAGCGUCAAGCGUGAUCGAGUCGCACUAGUCCCGCCUCCUAUGAGCUUGGGAAGGUUUCGGGGAUUGGUGUUCAUCAGCUUCUAUUUCUUUUCUCCGACAGUAGAAAAGCGAAAGCUUAAAGGAAAGAUCAGAAGUUACGGCAAGAGGAGAUCGCUCAGUAGGCUCGAGCGGAGUUUUUUCCCGUAUCGUGCAUUGUGUCGCCCAAACUGUACGGGAUGACAAGGACAAGGCUACUGCUUUUGUGCGUUGGCUUUCGGCCGAUCUUUACCAGGCUGUGCUCGUAUCUAAGAUACAUGACUUUUGCUGAGGUCUUGGAUCGGGCCUCUGUGGAUAGAAAGGCAAUGCCUUUUAUGCGGGAAACGAGAGGCAUAUUACAAGAAAAAGAGGAAAAGACGACCAACAGGUGGAUCCAGUGGUCAGUCCAAGUUCGCCAACGGCUUCGACGACUUUCGCACUCGCGAUCCCGAGUUGCUCCGGGACUACCGCAUUCGGUCCUCGGCGAAGUCGUGCUAAUUGUUGGAGCCUUCAUUUUCCACAGCAGUGUGAGCAGGCGUGAGGCAAGUGCUUCAAGUGCUGGCUGCGGCCAUAAUGUCGGGAUGAGUGUCCGCUGUGUGAUGGCCGGCCUUGGCACUGGCGAUGGCCCAUUCCUCUCCUGGGACAACCUGGCAGGUGUGCCACCUGCGUUAUGUCGGGAGAGCGGCCCCGUUGAGUGACGAUGCAACCAGAGGUCGCCGACGAACCCCAGUUGCAAUGGAUAAGCGACCCGAAUUGCGGACCACUGCGCGCUACGACCGUCAUCGUGGCAGGUAUGAGUUAAAUUGAGAAAAAUGUUGCUUUUACUCAUACUCAAGCGUGCAAUAGCAUGCAUUUAUUUGUUUGGUCGGUUGCUACUAAUUUAUAUAUUGCAUUUAUGCAUAGUUGGGUAAGUAGACACACAGUACAUGCACUACAUUGUGAGAAGUGGCACCUGCUGGUGCAAUAGAAAGCCAGUGGUGCUAGCUAAUGGCUAGUGAUGAUUCUCCGGUAAGCAAUGAGGCUCGUGGAGAACGUGGUCUAGUAAGUGACUCUUAAUAAUAAAUGGAUUGAAAAUUGUGGAAGAGUUGAGCUUCGAUGUUGAGGAUACCCGCGAAAGACUGCGGAGUUGAUACUGUGUUCCGAUAGAUCGACAGUGAGUAGAAUCACUGUUGGUGGAGUAGUCGUGCAGAUUUGACUGACCGGGCCCGUUGCGCUAGUAUAUCGCCAGUUGAGGUGGACGAGUUUGCUCGUGUAGUGGAUUGGAACGUGCAUAGGCAAGCGGGCCUGAUGCCUGGACUUUCUGUUGCAUCCUGUAGAAGCGUAGCGGCUCUAUGUUACUCGCGAGGUGCGGUUUCGAUCUCAGCACAGCUUGAGUGAUUGGCAGUAGCAUUAGCAGGCUAAGUGUGAAACGGCGCAUUGAUCAUUCAUGGGGCUGGGCCGCACAAGUGCUAAGAGAGUCGAUAGUGGUAACUUGAGCUGCUGUAGAGCAUGUGUGUAGGUGACGACGUUGGGGGCCUAGUGCUUGGGAACGACCAGUUGGUCUGGAUCACUUGUGACUGUGAGCUUGACCCAUUGGGCAGGCGCCAGUCACGCUGUGAGAGACAGCGGCGCCGGUACCCUAUUGGUAGGCGAGUAGUUUGGUCAGCUACGGUAUCCGAGCUAGACCCGAGUACGUGGAAUGUCACGUGUUUAGAGUGCGAGAUUAGAUACAACCGAGUAUGUAGUGACCUCAACCCAAGGAUUAGAUUGGAUUGGGGUCUGAUAGCUCCUGGUUGAGUGGUGUGCGAGUUCCUCCAAUGAGAAAUGUCGCCCACUGAUGAUUGUGGUCUACUCUUGCGAGCGAGAGACGCCUAGCCGUCUUGAAAGGGAUCGGGAAUUCUUAGUUGGUAGGCCUCACGUAGGGUGGGAGACUGUUGGUCCACUCCUAGAGACUAUGGUCGGUGGCGACCGAUGACCCCGUGAAUGCAGCUUAGGCCGCAGUUGCGAACGAUAGGGUUUCGUGUUGCAAAUUCACAUGUACGGCAGUUAGAGAUGAUGUCGAUCGUGCUUAUGGUAUUUAAAGGAUACAAGAGAAACCGCAGUGUCUCUUAUAAGCCUUGAGUGAAUGGACGCCAACGUGAGAAUUGGAGUUGGUGACGUCUCAAGUUAGUGAUACGCAAGUGGAUAAAUGCUCUCAAUGGGAAUGACAUUGAACGCGCGAAGUGUGCCUCCUCGUGAUAGAGCAAGAUUCGAUUGAAGAAUUGGAGGCACUCAAUGAUGUCCGAGUCACGCAACGAUAAUUGCGUUAAUAAGCAAUGCCGUGAUCGAAAUCGGAGUGGAAUUCCUGAGGGAUUUACAUGUAACGCAAUGGAUUGGUUCGCCAAUAAGUGAAAGGCCAGUUCAAAAGUGAACAAAGUGGGAUUGAUGCCCUCAACUUGUUUCGACUACAGUCCGAAUUUGAGGCGCGGUUUAAGUUUCCGCGACGAAACUCAUUUUUUAGAGGGAGAAUGUCAACAUACGGACUCAAAAAAGUCAAAGUUAAUGAAGUUACGGUGUAUGUUUGGCUGGAAAACUAUUUGAAUGGUUCCGGUAAGUUGGUUCGGUGAGAGUUCGGAAGCUUUUGGCGUUUCGGUGCGCGUCAGGCGCGAAAACGGAAACCCGAAGUACUGUGGUGGCGUGAGCUAAGUUCGGCAAUUAGCGGUCGGAUGAAAAGAUGAUGGAAGACACUGUUCGAUAACAUGUUUGGAAAUGUACAUAUAUUGGAACCAGAAGGAAUUAUCGAACCUUUAGCCAAAUUGGCUCAAAGCAUGCGAAUAAGAUGAAGGACUAGUUCCAAUUGAACGUCCAUCAAGGUUGGAAGGUUAAAGAUGAUUACUAAAAGAGUAGAAAGGUUUUAGCGUUGUCCGGAUCAUGAAAUAGAGUCAAGGCUUCUGUUAUCUUGAAUAUUAUCUUCUUUCUUUUUUAUCAGCUAAAAACCAAGUCGGAGCAUGGUUACCGGUACAAUUUGAUGUUGUACCGGUACAAGUUGAUGUGUACGCGGUACAACAAGCAACCCGAAGAAUGCAACUCUCGGGUUUGAGUGAAAAAGGCUGUUAACCGUGACACGGGAAAGUGUACGGUAACACUUUGGCAGAAGGCAAAGAUUUGGUCUGCUGGCAAUUAUAAUUGAUUGGAGGGGUUUAAUUUGCAAUUGUUACGCUAAUGUAAUACCCUAAACCCCUCUCCUCACACAGAUCUCUCUCCCUGCUCUCACCUCUCGUGUCUCUCCUCUCCCUCUCACCGUUUGGACAAGAAAGACAGAGGAAAAGAAGAAAAGAAAGGAAAAAGAAAAAGAGAAGGAAAAAGAAAAAAGGAUGAGAAGAAGAAGCUCUACCUCCAUAUUCAUCUCCUCAAUGCUUGGAGGAGCUUGAGAGUAAGCCAAUGUGUCUCCUCUCAUGUGGGAAUUAGGUUAGGUUAGUUUUUAAACCGCUAAUACCAAGAGAUUUGAGAGCUUCUAAGCAUGAUAACCAUAUAGAGACCUAUAACACAUGAAAUCAUUGGUGUUCUUCGUAAUGUCUGCUAAUGGUGGAAUCUCUAGGGUAUGUUCUAAAUGGCCCUAGGGAUGUUCUAAUGAAUAGAAACAAGUUUAGAGCAACUUCUUGGGAUUCUGAAGCUCGAUUAUACAUUAGCUAAUGAGAUCAAUCCAAGAAAUUUGAUAUGGCAUUGUAGGGCACCGAAAUGGGGCUUUUGCCUCCGGGUGUUUCUAAGCAAAUUCGGCUUGUAGAAACCUAAAUUGGACCCUAACGAACGCGUUGAAUAGCUCGGUUAGCAUCGACGAGCGUUACGCGAAGUUAUUGAUCGAAAACGGUACGUUUUUGUAGCAGAUAGCCGCACAGCACAGCGGGAAUACAGAGUCAAAUCAUGAGAUCGGAACUCGGAAGCCUGGAGUCAAGGAAAUAAAUCAGAAAAGAGCGAUGCGCGUUCGGAUGGUCGUCUUGAAGUCGCGCAUGAUCGGCCAAAAUCGCGCAAUCGGUUGCCCGCGGGAGGCCGGAUUGCAAUGACACAAGCAAUGGAGUGGCGUGUUAAGGGGGGUUGUUUUACCGAAGCGACUAGGUCGCCUUUAUGUCUAAGAAAUGUAAGAAAUCCAUGUUUGAUGCAUAUAAAUUAAAUAAGGCAUGAGCUAAAUAAGCUGAUUAUAUUUAUGAUGAAAUGGCUAAGAUAGACUGACAUAUAAAGAUACUAUGAAGAUAUAAACAGUCAUGAUUAGCAAUUAUGAGAUUAUAGAUGAUAAGCUUAGCAUUGUGAGAUUAUAUAUGCAUAUGAACUCUGGUUGAUAACUCUAGCUUGAUUAAGAGUAACAUUGGAAAAUGAGAUUGAUAACUCUAGAAUGAGUAGAAUGCUAAUUGGACAAUUAGUAAUGUAAUUAGAUCGAUGUGGCAUCUAACUAGUGUUAAGGAGACAUAAGUCGUGAGUAGACCUAGAAUCAAAUAGAUCGAGUGGCAUCUAACCUAGCUGUUAAUAAAAUAGGUCGUGA
This 10098-nucleotide long non-coding RNA is filed under the name Ananas comosus (pineapple). RNAcentral's name for it is "long non-coding RNA (ACOM_LNC044846)". Lineage: Eukaryota; Viridiplantae; Streptophyta; Magnoliopsida; Poales; Bromeliaceae. The record is from RNAcentral.